Anas platyrhynchos (mallard) is the source of this 1223-nucleotide long non-coding RNA. RefSeq lists it as uncharacterized. The record is from RefSeq and is a predicted model, not a curated record. Lineage: Eukaryota; Metazoa; Chordata; Aves; Anseriformes; Anatidae.
GCGUUACGCUGAGGUAACACGAGGCGGGGAACUGUACAAGGAGGCCAUAAACGCGUGCGGACACGGGAGGAAAGCUCCAAACCCAGGCGAGGAGAGGAGGGAGGGAGAGCAGAGCAGAGCCUCCCUCACGGCUCGAGCCCCCCCCCCGCCCGCUGCGGCCGCCCCCCCCCGGCACGCACAGCUCCCCUUCAAGCCCGGGGGGGCGGGCCGGGCCGACCUUCUCGCGGCUCUUGCGCUCCUCCCGGCGCCGCUCGAACUCCUCGAAGGAGAUCUUCCCCUCCAGGCUGAGCAACAUGCAGUUUUGCAGAAAUCUCACUAGAAGAUGGAACUCUGAAAGAGCAACUUAACUGCUUUUCAACAUUGUGGACAAUACAACUGAUUUCUGCAAAGUGUUACCCUCCAGUGCACUGUCAGUCAACUUCAGAAAAACCUUCUUGUCCCUACAAAUUCCAUAUUAAAGUGAGCAUGCCUUAAGAAACCAGUGCAGCAUGGCACUACAGAAACUGAAAAAGAACACCUGUAAGCCUUCCUCUUCUAUGUCUGUGACUCUGCUCUUGCAUAUUUCUAACCUCUGGACCUUGAUCCCAAUUCAAGUGUACUGCUGCCAAACAUUUCAGAAGGAUAUUUAUUUAGAAAAGCAAUAAAUGAUGGUAACCAGAGGUAAACAAAUCAGCUUUUUCCCUGCCCUUAUAUUGUAUUUACAGUCUAUUUUUGUGUUAUUCACAAAAGAACACUGUAAAUACUUGCUGGCCCCUAUGACGACACUACAUGGGGAAAUUUAAGAAGUAUUAUGUCUGAGAUAAACCAUCAUAGUUUUUCACCUUUUGUAUACUAUUUACGCAAGGUGAAUCCAACACACUCUAAGAGAUUCCAUUCAAAGCUACGCAGCUAGAAAAAAUUAGCAUGGUGCAAGGUCAACUAAACCUAAUGCAUCAUGUAAUAAUAAUACAAUCCACAAACCAACUAUGAAGCACCAAGCAAUAAUAACAUUAUUAAUAAAUAAUAAAAAUUGUCUUAACUUCUAAUUAUUUCUGACAUGUCAAAUAACACAAAGGCAUGAGACUCUUUCAGUGACCGAUACCAAAAAGGCAAUAAUUUUCUCAGUGUGACUCAGAAAAAUCAAAAGUGAGCUUGUCCUGAUUAAGCAUUCUGUGAGGGAAGAAGAAAUUAUCAUGGGGAAUACACAGUGGGUCAUAUAUACAAACCUGCCUUGUGUUUUCAUC